RNAcentral lists this ribosomal RNA (440 nucleotides) under uncultured bacterium. RNAcentral describes it as "partial 16S ribosomal RNA". It matches the Rfam family "Bacterial small subunit ribosomal RNA", at positions 338 to 795 of the family's 1533-position model. The record is from RNAcentral.
CCUACGGGAGGCAGCAGUAGGGAAUAUUGCUCAAUGGGCGCAACCCUGAAGCAGCCACGUCGCGUGGAGGAUGAAGGCUUUACGAUUGUAAACUUCUUUUGUUAGAGGAGAUUAUUACGGCAUCUAACGAUUUUUCACCGGCCAACUCCGUGACAGCAGCCGCGGUUAUAUGGCGGAUGCCAGGGUUACUCGGAUUCUCUGGGCGUAAAGCGUGCGUAGGCGGGGUAAUAAGUCAGUUGUGAAAUCCUGUAGCUUAACCGUAGAAUUGCAGUUGAAACUGGUACUCUGGAGUGUGGGCGAGGUAGGUGGAAUUCUUGGUGUAGCGGUAAAAUGCGUAGAGAUCAAGAGGAAUACUCAUUGCGAAGGCGACCUGCUGGAACGUUACUGACGUUGAUGCACGAAAGCGUGGGGAGCAAACAGGAUUAGAUACCCUAGUAGUC